GACGAACGCUGGCGGCGUGCUUAACACAUGCAAGUCGAGCGGUAAGGCCCUUUCGGGGGUACACGAGCGGCGAACGGGUGAGUAACACGUGGGUGACCUGCCCUUAGCUCUGGGAUAAGCCUGGGGAACUGGGUCUAAUACCGGAUAUGACUCCAUGACGCAUGUUGUGGGGUGGAAAGCCUUGUGCGGCUAGGGAUGGGGCCCGCGGCCUAUCAGCUUGUUGGUGGGGUGAUGGCCUACCAAGGCGACGACGGGUAGCCGGCCUGAGAGGGCGACCGGCCACACUGGGACUGAGACACGGCCCAGACUCCUACGGGAGGCAGCAGUGGGGAAUCUUGCGCAAUGGGCGAAAGCCUGACGCAGCGACGCCGCGU
Molecule: ribosomal RNA, 374 nt
Filed under: uncultured bacterium
Lineage: Bacteria
Description: bacterial SSU rRNA
Rfam family: Bacterial small subunit ribosomal RNA
Source: RNAcentral